UACGUAGGGGGCAAGCGUUGUCCGGAAUCAUUGGGCGUAAAGAGCGUGUAGGCGGCCAGAAAAGUCCGCUGUGAAAACUCGAGGCUCAACUUCGAGCUGUCGGUGGAAACUUUCUGGCUAGAGUCCGGAAGAGGAGAAUGGAAUUCCUGGUGUAGCGGUGAAAUGCGCAGAUAUCAGGAGGAACACCGGUGGCGAAGGCGGAUCUCUGGGCCAUUACUGACGCUGAGGAGCGAAAGCGUGGGGAGCGAACAGG
RNAcentral lists this ribosomal RNA (253 nucleotides) under uncultured bacterium. Its description in RNAcentral is "partial 16S ribosomal RNA". It matches the Rfam family "Bacterial small subunit ribosomal RNA", at positions 524 to 776 of the family's 1533-position model. The record is from RNAcentral.